Molecule: ribosomal RNA, 1528 nt
Filed under: Klebsiella aerogenes
Lineage: Bacteria; Pseudomonadati; Pseudomonadota; Gammaproteobacteria; Enterobacterales; Enterobacteriaceae
Also listed under: 15 other names
Description: bacterial SSU rRNA
Rfam family: Bacterial small subunit ribosomal RNA
Source: RNAcentral
AGAGUUUGAUCAUGGCUCAGAUUGAACGCUGGCGGCAGGCCUAACACAUGCAAGUCGAGCGGUAGCACAGAGAGCUUGCUCUCGGGUGACGAGCGGCGGACGGGUGAGUAAUGUCUGGGAAACUGCCUGAUGGAGGGGGAUAACUACUGGAAACGGUAGCUAAUACCGCAUAACGUCGCAAGACCAAAGUGGGGGACCUUCGGGCCUCAUGCCAUCAGAUGUGCCCAGAUGGGAUUAGCUAGUAGGUGGGGUAACGGCUCACCUAGGCGACGAUCCCUAGCUGGUCUGAGAGGAUGACCAGCCACACUGGAACUGAGACACGGUCCAGACUCCUACGGGAGGCAGCAGUGGGGAAUAUUGCACAAUGGGCGCAAGCCUGAUGCAGCCAUGCCGCGUGUGUGAAGAAGGCCUUCGGGUUGUAAAGCACUUUCAGCGGGGAGGAAGGCGGUGAGGUUAAUAACCUCAUCGAUUGACGUUACCCGCAGAAGAAGCACCGGCUAACUCCGUGCCAGCAGCCGCGGUAAUACGGAGGGUGCAAGCGUUAAUCGGAAUUACUGGGCGUAAAGCGCACGCAGGCGGUCUGUCAAGUCGGAUGUGAAAUCCCCGGGCUCAACCUGGGAACUGCAUUCGAAACUGGCAGGCUAGAGUCUUGUAGAGGGGGGUAGAAUUCCAGGUGUAGCGGUGAAAUGCGUAGAGAUCUGGAGGAAUACCGGUGGCGAAGGCGGCCCCCUGGACAAAGACUGACGCUCAGGUGCGAAAGCGUGGGGAGCAAACAGGAUUAGAUACCCUGGUAGUCCACGCCGUAAACGAUGUCGAUUUGGAGGUUGUGCCCUUGAGGCGUGGCUUCCGGAGCUAACGCGUUAAAUCGACCGCCUGGGGAGUACGGCCGCAAGGUUAAAACUCAAAUGAAUUGACGGGGGCCCGCACAAGCGGUGGAGCAUGUGGUUUAAUUCGAUGCAACGCGAAGAACCUUACCUGGUCUUGACAUCCACAGAACUUUCCAGAGAUGGAUUGGUGCCUUCGGGAACUGUGAGACAGGUGCUGCAUGGCUGUCGUCAGCUCGUGUUGUGAAAUGUUGGGUUAAGUCCCGCAACGAGCGCAACCCUUAUCCUUUGUUGCCAGCGGUCCGGCCGGGAACUCAAAGGAGACUGCCAGUGAUAAACUGGAGGAAGGUGGGGAUGACGUCAAGUCAUCAUGGCCCUUACGACCAGGGCUACACACGUGCUACAAUGGCAUAUACAAAGAGAAGCGACCUCGCGAGAGCAAGCGGACCUCAUAAAGUAUGUCGUAGUCCGGAUUGGAGUCUGCAACUCGACUCCAUGAAGUCGGAAUCGCUAGUAAUCGUAGAUCAGAAUGCUACGGUGAAUACGUUCCCGGGCCUUGUACACACCGCCCGUCACACCAUGGGAGUGGGUUGCAAAAGAAGUAGGUAGCUUAACCUUCGGGAGGGCGCUUACCACUUUGUGAUUCAUGACUGGGGUGAAGUCGUAACAAGGUAACCGUAGGGGAACCUGCGGUUGGAUCACCU